Molecule: ribosomal RNA, 496 nt
Filed under: uncultured bacterium
Lineage: Bacteria
Description: partial 16S ribosomal RNA
Rfam family: Bacterial small subunit ribosomal RNA
Source: RNAcentral
GAUGAACGCUGGCGGCGUGCCUAAUACAUGCAAGUCGAGCGAACAGACGAGGAGCUUGCUCCUCUGACGUUAGCGGCGGACGGGUGAGUAACACGUGGAUAACCUACCUAUAAGACUGGGAUAACUUCGGGAAACCGGAGCUAAUACCGGAUAAUAUAUUGAACCGCAUGGUUCAAUAGUGAAAGACGGUUUUGCUGUCACUUAUAGAUGGAUCCGCGCCGCAUUAGCUAGUUGGUAAGGUAACGGCUUACCAAGGCAACGAUGCGUAGCCGACCUGAGAGGGGGAGCGGCCAAAAUGGAAAUGGAACACGGGCCAGAACCCGAGGGGGGGCAGAAGGAGGGAAUUUUCCGAAAGGGGGGAAAGCCUGAGGGAGAAACGCCGGGGGGGGGAUGAAGGUCUUCGGAUAGAAAAACCUUGUUAUUAGGGAAAAAAAAAUGUGUAAGUAAAUAGGCACGUUUGGAAGGAACCAAAGCAGAAAGCCACGGAAAAAUAAGU